Molecule: long non-coding RNA, 591 nt
Organism: Numida meleagris (helmeted guineafowl)
Lineage: Eukaryota; Metazoa; Chordata; Aves; Galliformes; Numididae
Exons: 3
Source: RefSeq, a predicted model, not a curated record
GUAACCCAGCUGCGCCAUUAACCUCUUCUUGUGAAUAACGUGUAAAGUAAGAUAUUGAUACUAGAUAUGGAAAACACAAAAAGGAGGAAAUUCAGCCUCCCAACCAGCUGUUCUCACCACUCCGAAUACAUAAAUAUAGAAGCAAAAGAGAAACAUGAGCAGUUUGGAAAUACUCUCGAGGAAUAGCAGACUACUUAGCCGUCCAGUCUGCAGCUAUAACUACUGCACAGGUUGCCAAAGAAUCCUGAGGAGCAUUUAUGGAAAGUGAACCUUAAAUACGCGCUGUGCAGCGAAGAGCCCUUUCAUGUUCAGACGGUGGAUAACGAGAGAUUGUCUGCAGCUGACUUCAGAAAAUCAUAAAGAGGAAGAACUGACAAAAGGAAAUGGAAGAGAAGAGCAUAUGAUCCAAGCAAAAUGAAAUGUAGCAACAUGAGAUACCGUGAGCACAGACUGGUGCAUGGGCUACGUCACUCUUCCUCCCAGUGCAUUAGCUCUCAGUAUGGCAGAUGAUAGCGAGCAUAGCUGGGUGGUCUGUUAGCAAAAUAUCAGCUGAAGUCACUCUGACUUCAGUAAUGCACUGCAACCAGAUGA